RNAcentral lists this ribosomal RNA (496 nucleotides) under uncultured bacterium. RNAcentral describes it as "partial 16S ribosomal RNA". It matches the Rfam family "Bacterial small subunit ribosomal RNA", at positions 29 to 507 of the family's 1533-position model. The record is from RNAcentral.
AUGAACGCUGGCGGCGUGCCUAAUACAUGCAAGUCGAGCGAACGGACGAGAAGCUUGCUUCUCUGAUGUUAGCGGCGGACGGGUGAGUAACACGUUGAUAACCUACCUAUAAGACUGGGAUAACUUCGGGAAACCGGAGCUAAUACCGGAUAAUAUUUUGAACCGCAUGGUUCAAAAGUUAAAGACGGUCUUGCUGUCACUUAUAGAUGGAUCCGCGCUGCAUUAGCUAGUUGGUAAGGUAACGGCUUACCAAGGCAACGAUGCAUAGCCGACCUGAGAGGGUGAUCGGCCACACUGGAACUGAGACACGGUCCAGACUCCUACGGGAGGCAGCAGUAGGGAAUCUUCCGCAAUGGGCGAAAGCCUGACGGAGCAACGCCGCGUGAGUGAUGAAGGUCUUCGGAUCGUAAAACUCUGUUAUUAGGGAAGAAUAUAUGUGUAAGUAACUGUGCACAUCUUGACGGUACCUAAUCAGAAAGCCACGGCUAACUACGUG